RNAcentral lists this ribosomal RNA (114 nucleotides) under Pteropus vampyrus (large flying fox). Lineage: Eukaryota; Metazoa; Chordata; Mammalia; Chiroptera; Pteropodidae. The record is from RNAcentral.
GUCUACGGGCCAUGCCCCUGAACAAUCCUGUCUGAUCCCGGAAGCUAAGCAAUGUCAGGGCCUGGUUAAUACUUGGAAUGGGAGACCACCUAGGAAGACCAGGUGCUGUAGGUG